RNAcentral lists this long non-coding RNA (418 nucleotides) under Cottoperca gobio. RNAcentral describes it as "lncRNA (ENSCGOG00000006287.1)". The record is from RNAcentral. Lineage: Eukaryota; Metazoa; Chordata; Actinopteri; Perciformes; Bovichtidae.
AAACGAGGGAGAUGGGGCGCACUGCAUGUCAGAAUUGCAUGGAAGAUUUAUUACCACGAACAACUCAAGAAAAAGCAGCAAACCACCUACAGUGUCCAUCGUGAACUGACACCUGAGUAUCCUGCCACCAGCAUACCUGACACAGUACAGCACAAGGAAUCAGACCAGCCCUCCUGCCUACACACAAAUAUCGUCUCUCCAUAUGGACACUCUGCUUAUGGAAACACUGAGGACAGGAGUGAAACAGGAAAAACAGCAGAACAUUUGAGCCACUUCAACAGAGGUUAUCCCUCCCACCUUUACACUUCUUCAUCGCCGUCUUCCCACAGCCAAACGACCAAGAGGGAGAAACUGGAACAGCCCCCGAAGCUGCACCGGAAAGAGAAAGUCGAUGAGAAGACGAAACACAGGAGCCAAC